CUCCACCAUGCAUGUCUUGCAGCUGUUUUGUGACGGCGGAUGUCGACAGCCAACGCCGGAGCUGACAGCGACUGUUCUUGAAAUUGGUAGGAGUGUGGAGAGGAGUAGGAGGAAGAGGAGAGAAGAGAGGAGGCUUUGAAACUUGUAGGUCUUCUUCAUGUUGAAAUUUAGUUUUGAUUUUUGUUUCUGAGAGAGUUGAAAUUUGAUGUUAUUGCAUUCAUUUAUAUAGAGGUUUUGUCAUGAUAUACAUAAAACAUUUAUGUUGAUUAGGUUAGUAUCUAGUGACUUUCACAAGAGUUAACAGGGCAGUGCCCCCAAUAUGCAUUUAAGUAAAGCAUUCACUGUUCUUGAAGUGUACAAUUUCCUUAAAUGCUCUUUCUGGUAUAUUUUUAUUUUUGGUCAAGUCAUCUUUUUAUUCCAUCAAUAUACAUAUAAAACAUAUUACUGUAAAUAAAACAUUUUCCGGUAACAUAGAAAAAUGGUAGAAAAUUAUGAGUUCUGGUUAGCUUGUAGAAUUUCACAAAAUAUCUAUACGGAAAACUGAAUUUAGCUAUGGUCUCUGAAGGAAUCCAAAGAAGUGUUUUGUAAAAGUUAUUCGUUUGGAUCGAAAAGCCUUAUGGAAUUUUCGUUAUGAUUUUUUUGGUUUUAUUUGAAAAUGAAAGUAAAAACCAGACCACAGUUUUACAGUUUAGCAAACGAAGAUUUUCCAAUAUUUAAAAGUCUGUGGUUUCUAAACGAUGAAGUGUAUAAUUUAUUUCGUCACAAACUAACAUUUAAGUUUUGUUCAUGCGCAUGAAACAAAUAUUUGUAUAGAUAAUAACGAGCUAGAUUGCAAAUUAGAAAAUACUCUGAAAAGAGUAACGUAAAGAACCAAAAAAAAAUUGACAGCGACUGUUCUUGAAAUUGGUAGGAGUGUGGAGAGGAGUAGGAGGAAGAGGAGAGAAGAGAGGAGGCUUUGAAACUUGUAGGUCUUCUUCAUGUUGAAAUUUAGUUUUGAUUUUUGUUUCUGAGAGAGUUGAAAUUUGAUGUUAUUGCAAUCAUUUAUAUAGAGGUUUUGUCAUGAUAUACAUAAAACAUUUAUGUUGAUUAGGUUAGUAUCUGGUCUAGUGACUUUCACAAGAGUUAACAGUGCAGUGCCCCCA
RNAcentral lists this long non-coding RNA (1142 nucleotides) under Brassica napus (rape). Its description in RNAcentral is "long non-coding RNA (BNAP_LNC022118)". Lineage: Eukaryota; Viridiplantae; Streptophyta; Magnoliopsida; Brassicales; Brassicaceae. The record is from RNAcentral.